This 87-nucleotide transfer RNA is filed under the name Streptomyces albospinus. RNAcentral's name for it is "tRNA-Val". The record is from RNAcentral. Lineage: Bacteria; Bacillati; Actinomycetota; Actinomycetes; Kitasatosporales; Streptomycetaceae.
GGACGUCGGCGGGGAUUGACGCCUCGUCAGCUGACGCCUGGAGUGGUGUGUCCACCUGUGCGCGUGCGUGCACGCGCACGACGUCCA